Molecule: ribosomal RNA, 468 nt
Filed under: uncultured bacterium
Lineage: Bacteria
Description: partial 16S ribosomal RNA
Rfam family: Bacterial small subunit ribosomal RNA
Source: RNAcentral
GACGAACGCUGGCGGCGUGCUUAACACAUGCAAGUCGAACGGAAAGGCCCUGCUUUUGUGGGGUGCUCGAGUGGCGAACGGGUGAGUAACACGUGAGUAACCUGCCCUUGACUUUGGGAUAACUUCAGGAAACUGGGGCUAAUACCGGAUAGGAGCUCCUGCUGCAUGGUGGGGGUUGGAAAGUUUCGGCGGUUGGGGAUGGACUCACGGCUUAUCAGCUUGUUGGUGGGGUAGUGGCUUACCAAGGCUUUGACGGGUAGCCGGCCUGGGAGGGUGACCGGCCACAUUGGGACUGAGAUACGGCCCAGACUCCUACGGGAGGCAGCAGUGGGGAAUAUUGCACAAUGGGCGGAAGCCUGAUGCAGCAACGCCGCGUGCGGGAUGACGGCCUUCGGGUUGUAAACCGCUUUCGCCUGUGACGAAGCGUGAGUGACGGUAAUGGGUAAAGAAGCACCGGCUAACUACGUG